GUGGGGAAUAUUGGACAAUGGGCGAAAGCCUGAUCCAGCCAUGCCGCGUGUGUGAAGAAGGUCUUCGGAUUGUAAAGCACUUUAAGUUGGGAGGAAGGGCAGUAAGUUAAUACCUUGCUGUUUUGACGUUACCGACAGAAUAAGCACCGGCUAACUUCGUGCCAGCAGCCGCGGUAAUACGAAGGGUGCAAGCGUUAAUCGGAAUUACUGGGCGUAAAGCGCGCGUAGGUGGUUUUGUAAGUUGGAGGUGAAAUCCCCGGGCUCAACCUGGGAACUGCCUCCAAAACUGCAUGACUAGAGUACGGUAGAGGGUAGUGGAAUUUCCUGUGUAGCGGUGAAAUGCGUAGAUAUAGGAAGGAACACCAGUGGCGAAGGCGACUUCCUGGACUGAUACUGACACUGAGGUGCGAAAGCGUGGGGAGCAAACAGGAUUAGAUACCCUUGUAGUCC
RNAcentral lists this ribosomal RNA (450 nucleotides) under uncultured bacterium. RNAcentral describes it as "partial 16S ribosomal RNA". It matches the Rfam family "Bacterial small subunit ribosomal RNA", at positions 354 to 796 of the family's 1533-position model. The record is from RNAcentral.